RNAcentral lists this ribosomal RNA (253 nucleotides) under uncultured bacterium. Its description in RNAcentral is "partial 16S ribosomal RNA". It matches the Rfam family "Bacterial small subunit ribosomal RNA", at positions 524 to 776 of the family's 1533-position model. The record is from RNAcentral.
UACGCAGGGGGCUAGCGUUGCUCGGAAUCACUGGGCGUAAAGCGCACGUAGGCGGACUCUUAAGUCAGGGGUGAAAUCCUGGAGCUCAACUCCAGAACUGCCUUUGAUACUGGGAGUCUUGAGUCCGGAAGAGGUAAGUGGAACUGCGAGUGUAGAGGUGAAAUUCGUAGAUAUUCGCAAGAACACCAGUGGCGAAGGCGGCUUACUGGUCCGGAACUGACGCUGAGGUGCGAAAGCGUGGGGAGCAAACAGG